Long non-coding RNA from Passer domesticus (house sparrow), 625 nucleotides. RefSeq lists it as uncharacterized. The record is from RefSeq and is a predicted model, not a curated record. NCBI's taxonomy places the organism in Eukaryota, Metazoa, Chordata, Aves, Passeriformes, Passeridae. The transcript has 3 exons.
AGGGCCUGGGGGGACACUUGGAGCAGCCCCAGGGCCCCAGGAUGGUUUUGCCAGGAGAAAAGGGAUGUGACCAACAUCUCAGGGACCAGCCUGCUGCAGCACCCGGGCAGCUGUACCCAUGGCAGGUAACAUGGCACUGGGAUUUUGCUCUGCUGCAGCCUCCUGCAGCUGCAGAUGGCACUUGCUGUGUCACUGCCUCACUAGGCUGUGGUCUGAAGGCAUCUCUGUUGCUUCCAAGCUUGAUUAUGGACUUCAGUGGGGGAAUUGGGGCAAGCUUUAAUUUUUCCAUAGCUCAAUGGUCCUUUGUCUUCUCAGACAGUGACACAGUGAAUUUCCACCUCCCAGCUAUGUCAUUGCCAAGGACCACUGGCCUUACUCUGCUCCAUGAAAAGAACUCUGUCAGCACAGCAAGGAUAUCAGCACUUCCAUUUUCCUGGACUUUUGCAGUCCUAUUUUGCUCCCUUUGCUUGAACUCCUGGGUGGCAGGACCUCUCCUAACUCGUGAAGUUCAUUGUCUGCAGGAUGCAACAGGACACCCAAGGGAGGAGCAUGCAAAAGUGUAAAACAGCUCAAUCAUCUGCAGGAACAGCACAAAUCAGAGGGGCUGUGACCAAGGAAGAUCUGG